GAUAAACGCUAGCGGCGUGCCUUAUGCAUGCAAGUCGAACGGUCCUUCCCGCAAGGGAAGGAUAGUGGCGAACGGGUGAGUAACGCGUAAGUAACCAGCCCCUAAGUAGGGGAUAACUCUGAGAAAUUAGAGCUAAUACUGUAUGUGGUGGUGGGGGUAAUGCUUCAUCACUAAAGUCUUAGGGCGCUUAGGGAUGGGCUUGCGUCCGAUUAGCUAGUUGGUAGGGUAAUGGCUUACCAAGGCGAUGAUCGGUAGCUGGUUUGAGAGGACAUCCAGCCACACUGGGAUUGAGAUACGGCCCAGACUCCUACGGGAGGCAGCAGCAAGGAAUUUUGUGCAAUGGGCGAAAGCCUGACACAGCGACGCCGCGUGGGGGAUGAAGGCCUUCGGGUUGUAAACCCCUUUUCUCAGGGAAGAAUAAUGACGGUACCUGGGGAAUAAGUCUUGGCUAACUACGUGCCAGCAGCCGCGGUAAUACGUAGGAGGCGAGCGUUAUCCGGAUUUACUGGGCGUAAAGAGGGCGUAGGCAGUUUUUCAAGUCGAUUGUAAAAUCUCCCGGCUUAACUGGGAGGAGCCAAUCGAUACUGUUAGACUAGAGAGCAGCAGGGGGAGGUGGAAUUCCCGGUGUAGUGGUGAAAUGUGUAGAUAUCGGGAGGAACAUCAGUGGCGAAGGCGGCCUCCUAGGCUGUUUCUGACGCUGAGGUCCGAAAGCGUGGGGAGCAAACAGGAUUAGAUACCCUGGUAGUCCACGCUGUAAACGAUGGACACUAGGUAUGGGGAGUAUCGACCCUCUCUGUGCCGAAGCUAACGCAUUAAGUGUCCCGCCUGGGGAGUACGGCCGCAAGGCUA
Molecule: ribosomal RNA, 849 nt
Filed under: uncultured bacterium
Lineage: Bacteria
Description: bacterial SSU rRNA
Rfam family: Bacterial small subunit ribosomal RNA
Source: RNAcentral